This 253-nucleotide ribosomal RNA is filed under the name uncultured bacterium. RNAcentral's name for it is "partial 16S ribosomal RNA". It matches the Rfam family "Bacterial small subunit ribosomal RNA", at positions 524 to 776 of the family's 1533-position model. The record is from RNAcentral.
UACGAAGGGGGCUAGCGUUGCUCGGAAUCACUGGGCGUAAAGGGUGCGUAGGCGGGUCUUUAAGUCAGGGGUGAAAUCCUGGAGCUCAACUCCAGAACUGCCUUUGAUACUGAGGAUCUUGAGUCCGGGAGAGGUGAGUGGAACUGCGAGUGUAGAGGUGAAAUGCGUAGAUAUCUGGAGGAACACCGGUGGCGAAGGCGGCAUCCUGGACCGACACUGACGCUGAGGAGCGAAAGCCAGGGGAGCAAACGGG